RNAcentral lists this long non-coding RNA (2488 nucleotides) under Coffea arabica (coffee). RNAcentral's name for it is "long non-coding RNA (CARA_LNC005198)". Lineage: Eukaryota; Viridiplantae; Streptophyta; Magnoliopsida; Gentianales; Rubiaceae. The record is from RNAcentral.
GGCUAAGUUAAUUUUUUUUAGUGGGCUUGUUUCUUAUUUUUUGGUUGGGCUAGAAGGUCGGAGCCCAUGUUUUUUUUGGUUGGGUUUGGGGGAUAAAAAGACGGGCUGGCCUGCUCGUUUCUUUUGGGUUUCGGCUGGGCUUAAGUAGUGUCCGGCCCAAAUAAAUAAAAAUAUGGUCCGAUGGCCUUUUUCUCCCAAAUCAGAAACCGAAAUUUUCACCUUAGCCCCUGAUCUUUGGAGUAGUUUCACUUUGGCCCAGAACAUUUUAAAUUUAUUUCACUAAGGUCCUUAAUUUAAUUUCAUUUUGGUCCUUUAAUUUUAUCUUUCAUUUAAUUUUGACCCCUGAACUUUGGAAAAUAUAAUUUUUGUCCCCCAAAAGUUUUCAAUUUUUGCAAUUCAGUCCUUGACAAAUUUUGGCUCUCUUUAUUAUGAUUGUUUCUUUUCUUCAAUAACUAAUUAUGUUACUUUUGAAUAUACUUAACUUGUAAUUUUUAGAUUUGCUUAAAUUUCUUUACGUCUGACAUAUUAGUGUGAAUUUAGUGCUUGUAUUAUUAUUUUCUUUUUCAAUUAAAUUGGUGCCAUGAUCCUUUUGUUCAUUGUGAGUAUAAUUAGGACAAUUUGACUCCAUUUAGUCACCACUUCAAACGGGAGGUACUCCUAUUUUAUUAUUUCAAUGUCAAUUACGUGCUCUUAUGUGCUCUUAUGUGUUCCUAUGUGUUUAUAUAUCUUUAUAUGCUUUAUUUAUUUGAUUUAAAUAUUCAUUCAAAUUUUCUUAUAUAUGUUUUAGUUAGUUUUUAUAAUGAUUCGAGAGGUAUUUAAAUACCUCAAAAAUGUAAUAGAUAGGAUAAUUAGAUUUGUUUUAUUAUAUUUUUCCCUCCUAGAUUGUAGUUAGGCGCUCCCCGAUGUAAUAGAUAGGUUGCGUGUUUAUGUGGCUUAUGUGUUAAGUGUUUUAUCCGCUUUUCUUAGGAUUUUGGCAUCUAGAUAUUAUGCUUACGUGUUAUGUGUUACGUGCUCUUAUGUGUUUAUUUGUUUUAAUUUAUGCUUUAUUUGCUUCACUAUGAAUUGUUAAUGCAUAACGUCACCACACUAGUCCAACGCUAGUUGUGGCUUCUCUCUUCGCUUACUUGCUAGUCCAACGCUAGUAAGGAUAUUUAGAAAUGGGCUAGUCCAACGCUAGACCCUUUAGGUCGUCUUGCGUUAGAUUCAUCUUUGUGUGCUAUUCACUACAUCUUCAUGCAUAUUUUUAUUUUUAGGAUCUUUUCUCAUUUGCAUGAUAUUUCUUAUUAUAUUAUCCCCUACCCUCUAUAGGCGUUAAUCAUGUCAUUUAGAAUUGCAUCUCAUUUAAGUUAGUUCAUUUGCUUGUUCAUGUUUGGAGAAUUAUUCUUUAAAUAUGGAAAAUGGGGUGAUCAUAACUUUUUAGUUUAAAUACUCCAUUAAUCCCUACAUAAGAAAAUCAUGUCACGAAUUUUUGUCCCCCGUACCCGUUAUGCUUGCAUUCAUUUUUCUUUGCUCACUUAUACCUUAUGUAUAUAAUUUAAUUUUCUUUUCUUUUCUUUUAAUUUCAUCAUUUGCAUACUCGUGACACUUUCAAGGAAUCAUUUUGGCCUUUGCAAUUAAUGCGAUUGGUUCAAUUAAACCCUUGAAUGAACAUUGUGUCCCUCUCGAUAUUUUUAUAAAUUUUGAUUUGCAUCCAUGUAAGAAACAUCCAAACGUGAUAAAAUUAAGGGUUAAAUUAGGAAAAUUUUGACUAAACCUCGCAACUAGCUUAGACUAGGUUGAAAGGGUGCCUUAGGUUUGAAUCAAUUAAACCUUUGCCUUCCCUUUCUUCAACCGUGACUCCCGAACCUAUUUUCUCUUGUUUUCAAAGACCUGGAGUUGUUAAAAAGGGUUUUGAUUUAUUUUAUUUUUGUCAAAAAUAUUUUUUGGGUGACUUGGUACACCAAAAAUCCAUACCAAGUGGCGACUCCCCUUUUUCUUGAAAACCCUUUUUAGACUAAAUUUUUGGACCUAAAUUGUCGCAUUUUUUAAAGUCCCAUUCUAGGUCCCCCUGUCACUUAUUUUUAAAUAAGAUCACAUCUUUUAUAAAUCACCUUUAUAUUUAUUUUUCUUGUAAAAAAUGGGGCGCGACACAACCCGUAUUCUUGAAUUGUGAUUAAAUUGUUCUAGUAUUAUACUGUAUUUAUUUGUUUAUAUUACGCCUCUAAUUGGGUAUAUGCCUACAUGUUUAUUUGGAAUUUCAUUGAGUUUUAGCUCACCCCACUCCAUUUUGUUUUCCUUAACAGGUCUGUGAUGGAACUGCUGUCAAGAACUUGCGUAGUCUUAAAUUUUAUCUUGAACUUGUAUUUUGAGUUGUAAUUCUUUUGUUUAGAAGAUUUUUUCUUUGAGUUUUAUAAGUUUGAAUUUGUAAGUUGGGCACUUAUUAUGUAAAUUAAGUUUAAAAUUGUAAGUUUGACAUUUAAUUCUAUAUUAUAAGUUUAAGAAGUUGGUG